UACAGAGGGGGCAAGCGUUGUUCGGAAUUACUGGGCGUAAAGGGCGCGUAGGCGGUCUUGUCAGUCCCUUGUGAAAUCCCCCGGCUCAACUGGGGAACUGCACGGGAAACAGCAGGGCUUGAGUUCGGGAGAGGGAAGCGGAAUUCCGGGUGUAGCGGUGAAAUGCGUAGAUAUCCGGAGGAACACCGGUGGCGAAGGCGGCUUCCUGGACCGAUACUGACGCUGAGGCGCGAAAGCUAGGGGAGCAAACGGG
Molecule: ribosomal RNA, 253 nt
Filed under: uncultured bacterium
Lineage: Bacteria
Description: partial 16S ribosomal RNA
Rfam family: Bacterial small subunit ribosomal RNA
Source: RNAcentral